Molecule: long non-coding RNA, 7299 nt
Filed under: Homo sapiens (human)
Lineage: Eukaryota; Metazoa; Chordata; Mammalia; Primates; Hominidae
Description: non-protein coding lnc-KRT80-2:3
Source: RNAcentral
GUAUCAGAUUAGCUCCCGAGAGCCAGAAGCUGUUUGCCUUUCAGUGGGAAGAUCCGGAGUCAGGUAUCACUACUCAGUACACUUGGACCCGGCUUCCCCAAGGGUUCCAGAGCUCCCCCACCAUCUUCAGGGAGGCGUUGGCUACAGACCUCCAGAAGCUUCCCACCAGAGACCUAGGCUGCGUGUUGCUCCAGUACGUUGAUGACCUUUUGCUGAGACACCCCACGGCAGUCAGGUGCGCCAAGGGAACGGAUGCCCUACUCCAGCGCCUGGAGGACUGUGGGUAUAAGGUGUCCAAGAAAAAAGCUGAGAUCUGUCGACAGCAGGUACGUUACUUGGGAUUUACUAUCCGACACGGGGAAUGCAGCCUGGGAUCAGAAAGAAAGCAGGUCAUUUGCAAUCUACUGGAGCCUAAGAGCAGAAGGCAAGUGAGAGAAUUCUUAGGAGCUGUGGGGUUUUGUAGACUGUGGAUCCCAAACUUUGCAGUAUUAGCCAAGCCUUUGUAUGAGGUCACAAAGUGGGGGACCGGGAACCUUUUGAAUGGGGAUCUCAACAACAGCAAGCCUUUCAUGAGUUAAAGGAAAAAACUUAUGUCAGCCCCAGCCCUGGGGCUACCCGAUCUGACAAAGCCUUUUACAUUGUAUGUGUCAGAGAGAGAAAAGAUGGCAGUUGGAGUUUUCAUCCAAACUGUGGGGCCCUGGCCGAGGCCAGUGGCCUACCUCUCUAAACAACUAGAUGGGGUUCCUAAAGGAUGGCCCCUGUGUUUGAGGGCCUUGGCAGCAACUGCCCUGCUAGUACAAGAAGCAAAUAAGCUGACUCUUGGGCAAAACCUGAACAUAAAGGCUCCCCAUGCUGUGUUGACUUUAAUGAAUACUAAAGGACAUCAUUGGCUAACGAAUGCUAGACUCACCAAGUACCAAAGUUUGCUCUGUGAAAAUCUCCGUAUAACCAUUGAAGUUUGGAACACCCUAAACCCCACCACCUUGCUCCCAGUAUCAGAGAGCCCUGUCGGGCAUGAUUGUGUAGAAGUGUUUGACUCAGUUGACUCUAGUAGAUCUGACCUCCGGGACCAGCCUUGGGCAUCAGUAGACUGGGAACUACACGUGGACGGGAGCAGCUUCAUCAACCUACAAGGAGAGAGAUGUGCAGGGUAUGCAGUGGUAACCCUGUACACUGUUGUUGAAGCCAGAUCGUUGCCCCAGGGCACUUCAGCCCAGAAAGCUGAACCCAUUGCUUUAAUUUGGGCCUUAGAACUCCAUGAAGGUAAGACUGUAAACAUUGACACUGAUUCUCGGUAUGCCUUUUUAACCCUUCAAGUGCAUGGAGCAUUAUAGAAAGAAAACGGCCUAUGGAACUCUGGGGGAAAAGACAUAAAAUAUCAACAAGAAAUCUUGCAAUUAUUAGAAGCAGUAUGGAAACCCCACAAGGUGGCAGGUAUGCAUUGCAGAGGACAUCAGCGAGCUUCCACCUUGCUGGGUUUGGGGAAUUCCCGCGCUGACUCAGAGGCUCGAAAAGCAGCAUCUGCCCCCUUCCGGCAAUCAGUCACAGCCACUCUGCUCCCUCAAGCACCUGAUCUUGUACCUACUUAUUCUAAAGAAGAAAAGGACUUUCUCCAGGUAGAGGGAAGGACAAGUGAUGGAGGAAGGAUGGAUUCGGUUACCAGAUGGGAGAGUAGCUGUGCCACAGCUGCUAGGAGCUGCAGUUGUACUGGCUGUGCAUGAAACCACCCAUCUAGGUCAGAGUCACUGGAAAAGUUGUUAGGCUGGUAUUUCUACAUCUCGCAUUUGUCAGCCCUUGCCAAAACGGUGACACAGCGGUGUGUUACCUGCUGACAGCACAAUGCGAGGCAAGGUCCAGCCGUUCCGCCCGGCAUAAAAGCUUAUGGAGCAGCCCCCUUUGAAGAUCUCCAGGUAGACUUCACAGAGAUGCCAAAGUGUGGAGGUCAGAAGUAUUUACUAGUUCUUGGGUGUACCUGCUCUGGGUGGGUGGAGGCUUAUCCAACACGAACUAAGAAAGCUCGUGAAGUAACCCGUGUGUUUCUUCGAGAUCUGAUUCCUAGAUUUGGACUGCCCUUACGGAUCAGCUCAGAUAACGGGCCUGCGUUUGUGGCUGACUUGGUACAGAAGACGGCGAAGGUAUCGGGCAUCACAUGGAAACGGCAUGCCGCGUACCAGCCUCAGAGUUCCGGAAAGGCUGUAGAUAAAGGGGUUGAGCAUGGAGGUGACCACCGUGUACAUCACUGCAGCCACUGCACCCUUUCUGGGGGAAGAUGACACAUCUGAACUGAGGUACCCUCCAACACCUCUUCCAUAAAAUCAGCAAACAACUGACAGAGAUCAUGCAGCGGGAGCCCACGAUCGGUUUAAUCAUCACUCACUUCCAUUGGAUCAACUACAAAUCAACUCAGAUGAGAGUGCUGAGUCUCAGAGGAUGGACAUCUCACCCCUUGCCAUACAGAUAAGUAGAAAGGAUGGUAUUCAAAAUUAAUGGCCAGACUCUAAGUCCCAGAUACUAUACUUCAUGGUCUUCCAACUCUCAAAAAGUUGUGGGAGUUUUUUUUUGUUUUUGUUUUUGUUUUUUUGAGACGGAGUCUCAUUCUGUUGCCCAGGCUGGAAGUGCAGUGGAGUGAUCUCAGCUCAUUGCAACCUCCGCAUCCCAGGUUCAAGCUAUUCUCCUGCCUCAGCCUGCUGAGCAGCUGAGAUUACAGGCGCCCGCCACUAUGCCCGACUAAUUUUUUUCUAUUUUUAGUAGAGACGGGGUUUCACCAUGUUGGCCAGGCUGGUCUCGAACACCUGAACUUGUGAUUCGCCUGCCUCAGCCUCCCAAAGUGCUGGGAUUACAGGCGUGAGCCACCGCGCCCAGCUUCAAAAAGUUUAAAGCAGAGCUCAGAGGUCUUAACCACAGGUACAUCUGAGGAGCAUUUUUGAAACAGUUUCCAGCUUCCUCAACAGGAAGAGAAGCCAAAUUCCGAAUUUAUGACUCCUUUGAGGAAGUCGAGAGCUGUAAGGAAAGCCAGGAACAGGGGCAAGGGAGAGAUGCAUCCCGAAUGAUCCUGUGCCAAUUCUUUCUGGAAUCUUUGAUGUGAUCUCAGCUGCCCUUUCUAUACUUGACACAGUGAUUGUGGCACCCACUGGUCUAGCUGUGGUCUACAAGGAACCCCCAAAAGGAAGGGCACAGUGAGCAGGGGCAUCGGCCUGAGUGACAAGGAUUUGAGAGGGCAGGUUGGAUGCAGGGAGAGGACUGGCCAAAUGCCAUGUGUCUGGACUUAGGCUGCCUGGUUCAAACUGGACUUCACCCUUUUUGACUUCAUGAUCUGGUACAAGUUAUAUGAAAAUGCAUUGCUCCUUUUCUAGUCUGUAAAAUAAUAAUGAAAUGUGCACUAAUAACUGGGAGACUACGCAGAGGAAAUGAAACAAGCUGCAUAGACCACAGAGCUCAGAGCCUGGCCUUUAGGAAGCCCUCAGUAAGGGUUCAUGAUGCCAUGGUGUCUGUCAUCAUCCUCUUUAUCCUCAUCAUCACCUUCAUAAUCUUUUUAUUGUUCUUAGAGAAUAGUUUAGAGGGACUCAUUCCCUGCUAUCAUGGGUGAGAUGUCUAUGAAAAGGACAACCAGUGGGGGAGGAAAGCAAAAUUUUGAAUAAGAUUUCUGAGACCGCCCCCCCCCGACCAUAACCAAGAACAGAAACUCCACAGUCUGCUGAGCCGACAGUUUGCACGUUGGUCUCCUCCCAUCUGCCCACCGCACUCUCCUGUUUUUUUCCUGAGGAUGAGGAUACAAAACAAGGCUCCCAACCGUCCCUCAGCACUCACUGAACUGCCCUUCCCCUCUGCUGGGCCAUGACCACGGAGAACAAGUCCACUGUCCUCCCUGCGUGGUGCACGAUGGAGGCUCAGACUCCAUCCUCAAGGCUGGCAAGAAGACAGGGUGAGACAUGAGCCUCCUGAUACAGGUGAUGGGUGUGGAGCCCACAGGACUGGAACCUCACACUGCAGGGCUGGAGGCACAGACUAUUUACUAUUCUAUGGCCUGGGGGGCUCAAGGCACAGAGCUCCUCAUUAGCCAAAGUCGCCCAAGUUCCCCAACCUUUAAGGAUUUCCUCAUAAUAAUGCAAGAAGAAGAAGAGAAAAGUGAGUGUCCAUAGAAGCUUUGGGGCUCUUCCUCUAAUCAGGAGAAAGCUGCAGAAGUUCAUCAGCUAACUUCUUGGGACCUAGCACCAUGUGAAGACGCUCAAGCUAGACUUUAAAAUGAGAGACCCAGAGGAGAGACAGAAGCUCCACUAAAUCCAAAGAACACCUAGACUGAUCAACAACAGAGGAAGCAAGGACAGCAAAGGGCGCUGCAGAGGCCAAGAGGUACAAGAGCAUGCCGUUCAAAUUUUCAACCAAUUACGUGGCCGUGUCACUCUCCACUCCGCCUGCACGCUGGGAGAAAACGCAAAUCCAUGAAGGUGGUAUUUAAAGAAUUGACAGCCUUGAAAACAUUUUGGAAUUAUUUGAUUUCCUCACAAAACUUCAUUAUUGCUAAAUCCAAAAGAUGAGCCUGACAAUAUCUGUAAGUCUACCAACUGCCCUCCUUAAACUUUGUUGUUAACACUUCCCUAAAUCUUCUGUUCACGCCAGCAGCAUAUCAUAUGACCAACUCCAAUGUGCCUCCGUUAGAUUCUGGGACAUUUCUGGGAGUUCAUACAUUUUUGUUUGAGAAAGUUAAGGAGCUAUCAUACAUCUACAGUUCCGCCCUCCUCCCCACUCUAUGAUCAAAGGAAAAAUUUAAGGGGCAGUUCCACUUGUUCAAUAACGUUCAAUAACAUAUUUCUCCAUGGUCCUCCAUGUGCAGUGCAAAACAGCAGAAAUCCCCAUCCUAACAGAGCUGGCAUUUGAGCAGAUGGCUCGGGCAGGGAAGUUCCCAGCGAAUAUAGUGGCUCUUAUCAUGCAAACCGGUCCAAGAAGCAGACACAUCCACCUUGAGCCAGAUUUAUUUGCAAGGAAUGGGUUCAAAGUCAUGAAAAGAGGAGAGUUCACAUAGACUCAAUUUCAACAAAAAGUAGCUCUCAUAGGGGUGAAUGGGUUUAGGUUGCUCAAGAAGAGAGAGAUUCCAAAGAUGGAGCUUGAGUUGAAGCCCCCAGGAGCUCCCCCUGCAGAAAGAGCAGAGGCUCAGGCUGAGGACAGCUCCCUGAAUGGCCACCUGAAACCUGAAACCCGUGAUGGGAACGCAGAGGGGACCAUGGAGCAAAAACGCCAGGGAACUCUAUAUGGUGGAAAGGAGAUAGCCAGAUGUGGUGGCACACCCCUGUAGUCCCAGCUACUGGGGAGGCUGAGAUAGGAGGAUCACUUGAGCCCAGGAGUUUGAGACUAGAAUGAGCCAUGAUUGUGCCACUGCACUCCAGCCUGGUGAAAGAGUGAUACCCUGUUUUCAUAAGAAAAAAAUAACAAAAACAAAAACAAGAAAGGAGAGAGUUGGCUAAGCUUUAUCACCUUUGUGGGUUUGGAACCCUUACUUGAUCCUUCACUAAAGUACUUCUUGGGCAUCCAGUGAGGUUCAGUGUGUAUUGAGAGGAUGGUGAGGAUGGCAGCCAGGCGUGGGAUCUGUAUUCAAGAAGAAGCUGCCCCACUCGCUGGCCAUCUAUGGAUUUCCAGCCAACAAGCAUUUCCAACCACCUAUGGAUUUCCAACAACUGAGAACUCAUGAGACUGGCUGCCCAGUCUUUCCUCUCUGCCAGAGCAUGAAGAGGCCUCCAUCAUUUCAGGUUGAUGCUCUGGUUCGAGCAGAGCACACUCUUCAGUGGCUUCCUGAGAAAAUGUGCAAGACAAGUCCAUUUUCUGGCUCUCCAUAGAAGACCCACUUCACCUGCAGCCUCUCUGUGUUCUCAUCGGUACUCCCUGCUCACUCACCGCAGCCGCAGCUCCCUGGGCCUCCCCAUGGUUCCCCGACCACAGCAGGUGCGCUCCUUCCUCUGGGUCUCAGCACUUGUUCCGUGGCCUGGAGUGCUUCCCCCCCGCCCCCUCCCCACUCUCUCUAUUGCCCAUUCUCAUUCAGGUCUUUGCUCUAAUAACACUUUCUUGGCCGGGCACAGUGGCUCACACCUGUAAUCCCAACACUUUGGGAGGCUGAGGCAGAUGGGUCACUUGAGUUCAGGAGUUCGAGACCAGCCUGACUCAGCCUGCCCAACAUGGUGAAACUCCGUCUCUACCAAAAAUAUAAAAAAUUAGCCAGGUGUGGUGGUUGCGUGCCUGUAAUCCCAGCUACUCAGGAGGCUGAGGCAGGAGAAUCGCUUGAACCCGGGAGGUGGAGGUUGUAGUGAGCCAAGAUCACACCAUCACACUUCAGCCUUGGCAACAGAGCAAUUCUCUGUCUCAAAAAUAAACAAACAAACAAACAAACAAACAACACCUUCUUGGCAACACUUCCUGAUGAUUCCAUUUAAAAUUCCAGCCUUUCCCCUGCUCUCUCCAUGCACCCUCCCUGCUUUGCUUUGCUCCAUAGGUUGAACUGUGUCCCCCCCAAAAAAGACGUGCUAAAGUUCUAACCCUGAGUACUUCAGGAUGUGACCUUAUUUGGAAGUAGGAUCAUUGCAGAUGUAAUUAGUUAAAUUAAGACGAGGUCAUACUGAACUGGGGUGGGCCCCCAAAUCCAAAAGGACUGGUGUCUUCAUAAGAAAUUUGGAGACAGAGACGCGGGAAGAACACCAUGUGAUGGGACAGAGCUGGGCUGUGCAGCUGCAAGCCAAGGGACACCAGAUAUUGCCGGCCACCACCACCGGUCACCACCGGAAGCGAGGCGGAGGCAAGGACGGAUUCUCCUGCAGGUUUUUGUUUUGUUUUGUUUUGUUUUGUUUUGUUUUGUUUUUUUGAAGGCGGGGGUCUUGCUCUGUUGCCCGGGUUGGAGUGCAUGGCACAAUCAUGGCUCACUGCAGCCUCAACCUUCCAGGCUCAAGUAAGUCUCUUGUCUCAGCCUCCAGAGUAGCUGGCAUGCACCACCAUGCCCGGCUAAUUUUUUAAUGUUUUUGUAGAGAUGGGGAAGGGGGUCUCACUGUGUUGCCCAGGCUGGUCUUCAAUUCCUGCACUCAAGUGAUCCUCCUACCUCAACCUUCCAAAGUGCUGGGAUUAUGGGUGUGAGCCGCCCCACCCGACCCCCCUACAGGUUUCAGAGGGAGCAUGGCCCUGCCAGCACCUGGGUUUCCUACUUCUGGCCUCCAGAACUAUCAGAGAAUAAAUGUCUGCUGUUUCAAGCCACCCAGCUUGUGGUAUUUGUUAUGGCAGCCCCAGGAGCUAAUACACCAUCUGACAGGCUCUAUUUUUAAAUUG